This 1174-nucleotide long non-coding RNA is filed under the name Triticum aestivum (bread wheat). RNAcentral's name for it is "long non-coding RNA (TAES_LNC013068)". Lineage: Eukaryota; Viridiplantae; Streptophyta; Magnoliopsida; Poales; Poaceae. The record is from RNAcentral.
UGAAACAAAGAAAGAUGGACCCAAAUGGGUCGAUCAGAUUUGCUUGACUCAACAUGAUAGCAACACCAGAUGAGGUGUAUUAGCAGUAAGUAUGAAUGCCCAAGAUUCCUUGGCACUCUCUACUACAUUUGUAUUGAAAGGCAGUGGAAAACAAAUGAAAGAAGCAUGUUAAUACUGUAUCAAACAGAGGUGGAAUCGAUCAAUCAAUCAGACUUGCGGCUUCAACAAAAAAUCACGGCGAUGAAAUGAAUGGAUGCAUCUUGUACCUAGAGCUUGCACCAGAUGGAGGGGUCGCCGGCUCACGAUGCCGUUUAUUCACUCAGAGCAGAAGCGGGAGUACCUGCCACCGCAGCUCGAUGUCCUCUAUAGCCGUCGGCUCCCCUCAGCGACCGCGCUUAGCUGUCGCCCCAACCAUUCGCAGCUGGCGCUCCUGUUCGCACGACCAGUCCACGCGCGACGCGACGGGGCAGCCAGCACGGCGAGCUGCCCAUCCAUUCACGGCUGGGGCGACCCCUGGUGCUCCUGAUUGCGCGACUGAUGCGGGCCGACGGGUGACCUCCACGCACGGCGCGACGAGGACAGCCGCGACGGCGAGGUGCCCGUCGAUGUGUGCGGCUGGGGCGGCGCCUGGUGCUCCUUCUCGUGUGACGACACGGAUCGCCGUCCACGCACGACGCGACGGGGCAGCCACGACGACGAGCUGCCCAUCGAUGCACGGCCCGGGCGGCCCCUGGCAAGGUGCUCCUGCUUGCGCGGCCUAUGCGGGCCGACGGAGCACCUCCACGCGCGGCGCGACGGAGACAACCGCGACGGAGAGGUGCCCGUCGAAGUGCGUCCGGGGCGGCUCCUGGUGCUCCUGCUCGCGCGUACGACGCGGGCGAAGCAACUCCACGUGCGGCGCGACGAGGGGCAGCUGCUGCAGGGUGCGCCGCCCUUGUUCCCGGAUCAACGGUCGUCUGGCCUCGUCGCCGGCAACGACGUCGUGAGUGGUGGGGGACGAAGAAGGAGAGGGCGAGAGAGUGGCGGGGGUCUGCAGAGUGACGAUGCGGUGGAUGGAUAAGAGACGUGCGGCCGGAGGCGUUCGCGACGACACCCAGUUUCCCCCGAACGAAAACGCUGACCUGGAUAAUCUUCUCUCUCUAAGAUUCGUGUAAAGGAUCUAAUGAUAGAAAAC